RNAcentral lists this ribosomal RNA (253 nucleotides) under uncultured bacterium. RNAcentral's name for it is "partial 16S ribosomal RNA". It matches the Rfam family "Bacterial small subunit ribosomal RNA", at positions 524 to 776 of the family's 1533-position model. The record is from RNAcentral.
UACAGAGGAGGCAAGCGUUGUUCGGAAUUACUGGGCGUAAAGCGUGCGCAGGCGGCGCGUUAAGACAGGUGUGAAAGCCCCGAGCUUAACUUGGGAAUUGCGCUUGUGACUGGCGUGCUGGAGUGUGGCAGAGGGAGGUGGAAUUCCACGUGUAGCAGUGAAAUGCGUAGAGAUGUGGAGGAACACCGAUGGCGAAGGCAGCCUCCUGGGCCAGCACUGACGCUCAUGCACGAAAGCGUGGGGAGCAAACAGG